Molecule: ribosomal RNA, 514 nt
Filed under: uncultured bacterium
Lineage: Bacteria
Description: bacterial SSU rRNA
Rfam family: Bacterial small subunit ribosomal RNA
Source: RNAcentral
UAGUCCACGCUGUAAACGAUGAUCACUAGCUGUUGGCGAUACACCGAUCAGCGGCAAAGCGAAAGCAUUAAGUGAUCCACCUGGGGAGUACGGUCGCAAGAUUGAAACUCAAAGGAAUUGACGGGGGCCCGCACAAGCGGAGGAACAUGUGGUUUAAUUCGAUGAUACGCGAGGAACCUUACCUGGGCUUAAAUGCAGGACGACGUCCCGAGAAAUCGGGACUCUCUUCGGAGCGGACUGCAAGGUGCUGCAUGGUUGUCGUCGGCUCGUGCCGUGAGGUGUCGGGUUAAGUCCCAUAACGAGCGCAACCCCUAUCGUUAGUUGCCAGCGAGUCAAGUCGGGGACUCUAACGAAACUGCCGGUGUAAACCGAGAGGAAGGUGGGGAUGACGUCAAAUCAGCACGGCCCUUAUGUCCAGGGCUACACACGUGUUACAAUGGUCGGUACAGAGGGUAGCUACUAUGUAAAUAGAUGCCAAUCUCGAAAACCGGUCUUAGUUCGGAUCGAAGUCUGC